GGGACACGUGGUAUCCUGUCUGAAUAUGGGGGGACCAUCCUCCAAGGCUAAAUACUCCUGACUGACCGAUAGUGAACCAGUACCGUGAGGGAAAGGCGAAAAGAACCCCGGCGAGGGGAGUGAAAAAGAACCUGAAACCGUGUACGUACAAGCAGUGGGAGCACGCUUAGGCGUGUGACUGCGUACCUUUUGUAUAAUGGGUCAGCGACUUAUAUUCUGUAGCAAGGUUAACCGAAUAGGGGAGCCGAAGGGAAACCGAGUCUUAACUGGGCGUUAAGUUGCAGGGUAUAGACCCGAAACCCGGUGAUCUAGCCAUGGGCAGGUUGAAGGUUGGGUAACACUAACUGGAGGACCGAACCGACUAAUGUUGAAAAAUUAGCGGAUGACUUGUGGCUGGGGGUGAAAGGCCAAUCAAACCGGGAGAUAGCUGGUUCUCCCCGAAAGCUAUUUAGGUAGCGCCUCGUGAAUUCAUCUCCGGGGGUAGAGCACUGUUUCGGCAAGGGGGUCAUCCCGACUUACCAACCCGAUGCAAACUGCGAAUACCGGAGAAUGUUAUCACGGGAGACACACGGCGGGUGCUAACGUCCG
Molecule: ribosomal RNA, 588 nt
Filed under: Escherichia coli
Lineage: Bacteria; Pseudomonadati; Pseudomonadota; Gammaproteobacteria; Enterobacterales; Enterobacteriaceae
Description: partial 23S ribosomal RNA
Rfam family: Bacterial large subunit ribosomal RNA
Source: RNAcentral